Molecule: small nuclear RNA, 232 nt
Organism: Rattus norvegicus (Norway rat)
Lineage: Eukaryota; Metazoa; Chordata; Mammalia; Rodentia; Muridae
Product: U4 spliceosomal RNA
Source: Ensembl
AGCUUUGCGCAGUGGCAGUAUCGUAGCCAAUGAGGUUUAUCCGAGGCACGAUUAUUGCUAAUUGAAAACUAUAAAUGUGCAUAUGUCAAAAUAUCUGGGGCUGGGGAUCUAGCUCAGUGGUAGAGCGCUUACCUAGGAAGUGCAAGGCCCUGGGUUCGGUCCCCAGCUCCAAAAAAGAAAUAUAUAUAUAUAUAUAUAUAUAUAUAUAUAUAUAUAUAUAUAUAUAUAUAUA